UGCCGUUGGCGCCAUGUACGUCCGCGAAUAUUUUGAAGAGGCGGCCCGCCAAUCGAUGAACGAGAUGGUCAAAAAUAUCCGCAGCGUUUUCUCGGAAAUAAUCGACGAACUCGAGUGGAUGGACAAUGAAACCCGUAAACCUUUGGGUGCUGACGGUUUCAACUGGUUAAAACUGCAUGUGAUAUAUUUGACUGGUACGAAGAAAAGGGAGCCGAUUAGUGAACGUCAUGCCUAUGCCGAGAAAAUAAUGCCGGAAAUUCUCGACUCAGCUGAUAAUCCUUUAACGGGAAGACAAUGGUGGGUCAAUUCAGAUGAACCGUGGCAAACCUUAGCAGCUUGUAUGGAAGUCGCAAAUGCAUUAAGAUGUCCAGAAGGACCGGAAGCUUAUGUUUGUCACUUACCUAUCCAUCAAGACGGAUCGUGUAAUGGAUUACAACAUUAUGCAGCUUUAGGGCGAGAUACAGUUGGAGCCGAAAGCGUCAAUUUAACACCGACUGAUAGACCACAAGACGUUUACAGCAACGUGGCCAAUCUAGUUGAAAGGGAACGUUCCAAAGAUGCUGCGAAUAAUGUUGAAAUUUCUCAACUUCUUGCUGGACUGAUCAAUCGAAAGAUCAUCAAGCAAACAGUAAUGACGACAGUAUACGGUGUCACGCGGUAAUACGGUGCCCGAUUACAAAUUGCCAAACAGCUUAAAGAACUACCGAAUCUAACACCUGAACAAGUUCAAGUUGAAUCUGUUUAUUUAGCUGACAAAACAUUUCAAAGUUUACAAGGUUUACGUCGGCUAAAGAUAUUCAAGACUGGUUUACUGAAAGUGCUAAAUUGAUUUCAACCGUCGCCGGAGAAAGUGUCGAAUGGAUCACUCCGAUUGGGUUACCAGUUGUGCAGUCGUACAACAAUAAUCCUUACGAAGCAAUUCGACCGAAUGCGAUUAAACAACGCAACGCAUUCCCACCAAACUUUAUUCACUCCUCGGACUCGAGCCACAUGAUGCUAACGGCGCUCUAUUGCCAACGAAAAGGCAUCACUUUUGCGUCCAUUCACGAUUGUUUCUGGACUCACCCUUGCACUGUGGCAGAAAUGAAUAAGAUCUGUCGACAACAAUUCGUAUCUCUCCACUCUCAGCCUAUUUUGGAAGAUCUUUCAAAGUUUUUGGUCUCACAGUUUGCCGUCCGAGCGAGUGGUGCCGAUGCUGUUGACGAUGACACGCCCAAAGGACUUGCAUGACACAGAUUGAAUCAAAUUAUAAGUGAAGUGCCUAGACGCGGCAUGUUUGAUUUGCGCCUUGUUCUCGACUCGGUCUACUUCUUUUCCUAAACUAUAAAGGAUUAUCGGACGUGUUCGUUGGACAAAAAGUAACAACAGUUAGGAUGGUUGUAAAAUCUGUGCAUUCGUAUAAUUAGUAUUGUCUAGUCUUUUCCACAAUAAACCCGACGUGGUAGUUCCUAAUUUUUUCAUUGUUUAUAAGGAGAUAAUCAACAAGAUAAACAUCAAUCGCCUACACACGAUAAUCUAUUGUUAAUUUUCAUCAAGGAAGACCCGCCAUUUAAUGAAAGACAGACGAUGAAAGAGAAUCUGGUAGUUCCACGAUAUGAAACCAACAGGAAAUAAUUCUCGUCCCAAUUAAUUUUUUUAAAAUACGCAUUAAUUUUGCUGACCGAGACUGCACUAGUAACGAAACGAUUGCAAAUUUUCCGAAGUUUGGGGAUAAAAAAGGAAAAAAAUAUGAGGAGUUACCGCUAUGAAUUGAGAAAAGCAUAUAGAGAAACUUUGACGAAGA
This 1783-nucleotide long non-coding RNA is filed under the name Daphnia pulex (common water flea). RNAcentral describes it as "uncharacterized LOC124206149, transcript variant X2". The record is from RNAcentral. Lineage: Eukaryota; Metazoa; Arthropoda; Branchiopoda; Diplostraca; Daphniidae.